UACGUAGGGUGCAAGCGUUGUCCGGAAUUAUUGGGCGUAAAGAGCUCGUAGGCGGUCUGUCACGUCGGCUGUGAAAACCCGAGGCUCAACCUCGGGCCUGCAGUCGAUACGGGCAGACUAGAGUUCGGUAGGGGAGACUGGAAUUCCUGGUGUAGCGGUGGAAUGCGCAGAUAUCAGGAGGAACACCGAUGGCGAAGGCAGGUCACUGGGCCGCAACUGACGCUGAGGAGCGAAAGCAUGGGGAGCGAACAGG
Molecule: ribosomal RNA, 253 nt
Filed under: uncultured bacterium
Lineage: Bacteria
Description: partial 16S ribosomal RNA
Rfam family: Bacterial small subunit ribosomal RNA
Source: RNAcentral